RNAcentral lists this unclassified non-coding RNA (345 nucleotides) under uncultured Powellomyces. Its description in RNAcentral is "sequence contains ITS2". Lineage: Eukaryota; Fungi; Chytridiomycota; Chytridiomycetes; Spizellomycetales; Powellomycetaceae. The record is from RNAcentral.
AACGCACAUUGCGCUUCCUGGUAUUCCGGGGAGCAUGCUCGUUUCAGAAUCAAUAUGUUCUCACAAACUAUAUGGGUUGCAAAACCCCUAUUGGGCGUGGAUUUGGGCAUUUUUGCUAUGGUGCCUUUGUGCAACAUUGCAAUUGCCUUAAAAUGAUUGCGUGUAUGCCCCAAUUGGUAGUAAUUGGUUUACCCUCAAUGCAACAGUCAAAUGGAACAUUUUGGGGGACCUUUUGUGAACAUUGGACUUGGAAUACACUUCCAUUCUAUACAGCAACCAUCUCUAGUAUUGAGAUUGUUUCUGAACCUUGGUCUGAAAUCGAGCAAGAAAACCCGCUGAACUUAA